AGAACGAACGCUGGCGGCGUGGAUAAGACAUGCAAGUCGAACGCGAUUUAUCAGGUUAGCAAUAACUUGGUAAAUUGAGUGGCGAAAGGGUGCGUAACACGUGGGAAUUUACCAAGAAGUGGGGAAUAGCUCGACGAAAGUCGAAUUAAUACCGCAUACGAUCGCAAGAUCAAAGCCGGGGACCGCAAGGCCUGGCGCUUUUUGAGAAGCCCGCGGCCCAUCAGCUAGUUGCGGGGUAACGGCCCACCAAGGCUAUGACGGGUAGCUGGUCUGAGAGGACGACCAGCCACACUGGAACUGAGACACGGUCCAGACACCUACGGGUGGCAGGCAGUCGAGAAUUUUUUCACAAUGGAC
This 357-nucleotide ribosomal RNA is filed under the name uncultured bacterium. Its description in RNAcentral is "SSU rRNA". It matches the Rfam family "Bacterial small subunit ribosomal RNA", at positions 26 to 376 of the family's 1533-position model. The record is from RNAcentral.